Long non-coding RNA from Sycon ciliatum, 186 nucleotides. RefSeq lists it as uncharacterized. The transcript has 3 exons. The record is from RefSeq and is a predicted model, not a curated record. Lineage: Eukaryota; Metazoa; Porifera; Calcarea; Leucosolenida; Sycettidae.
UACCCCCCGGAAUUUUCAGUCAAAAUAUGAAAUUACGUACUCUAUACCUUAAUGAGAAUAAAAUCACCUAUUUACCACCCGGAAUUUUCAUUCGAAAUACCAAUCUAGCACUUUUAUACCUUAAUGAGAAUAAAAUCACCUAUUUACCACCCGGAAUUUUCAUUCGAAAUACCAAUCUAACACUUU